AGUGAACGCUGGCGGUAGGCCUAACACAUGCAAGUCGAACGGCAGCACAGUAAGAGCUUGCUCUUACGGGUGGCGAGUGGCGGACGGGUGAGGAAUACAUCGGAAUCUACUUUUUCGUGGGGGAUAACGUAGGGAAACUUACGCUAAUACCGCAUACGACCUACGGGUGAAAGCAGUGGAUCUUCGGACCUUGCGCGAUUGAAUGAGCCGAUGUCGGAUUAGCUAGUUGGCGGGGUAAAGGCCCACCAAGGCGACGAUCCGUAGCUGGUCUGAGAGGAUGAUCAGCCACACUGGAACUGAGACACGGUCCAGACUCCUACGGGAGGCAGCAGUGGGGAAUAUUGGACAAUGGGCGCAAGCCUGAUCCAGCCAUACCGCGGGGGUGAAGAAGGCCUUCGGGUUGUAAAGCCCUUUUGUUGGGAAAGAAAAGCAGCAGGUUAAUACCCCGCUGUUCUGACGGUACCCAAAGAAUAAGCACCGGCUAACUUCGUG
RNAcentral lists this ribosomal RNA (492 nucleotides) under uncultured bacterium. Its description in RNAcentral is "partial 16S ribosomal RNA". It matches the Rfam family "Bacterial small subunit ribosomal RNA", at positions 29 to 507 of the family's 1533-position model. The record is from RNAcentral.